UUUCCGUAGGUGAACCUGCGGAAGGGUCAUUACCGAGUGAGGGUCUCUCAGGCCCGACCUCCCACCCUGUGUUUUUGUGACCUUGUUGCUUUGGCCGGCCCGCCUCGAAGAGAGGCCGCCGGAAGCUCACCCCUUUGGGCCCGUGCCCGUCAGUAGGCCCCUUAAAUUCUUAAUAAACCUGUCGUCUGAGUUAAUGGAUAUAAUGAAAAAAGACUUUCAACAACGGAUCUCUUGGUUCUG
Molecule: unclassified non-coding RNA, 240 nt
Filed under: plant metagenome
Description: partial contains small subunit ribosomal RNA, internal transcribed spacer 1, and 5.8S ribosomal RNA
Source: RNAcentral